RNAcentral lists this unclassified non-coding RNA (186 nucleotides) under rhizosphere metagenome. Its description in RNAcentral is "partial ribosomal RNA internal transcribed spacer region". The record is from RNAcentral.
GAGUUCAUGCCCUUACGAGGUAGAUCUCCCACCCUUGAAUAACAUACCUUUGUUGCUUUGGCAGGACGCACCCGUGCCAGGGGCUUCGGCUCUUGAGUGCCUGCCAGAGGACCACAACUCUUGUUUUCAGUGAUGUCUGAGUACUAUAUAAUAGUUAAAACUUUCAACAACGGAUCUCUUGGUUCU